UAUAGAUUCUCUAUCUCCUGGAGCAGAGUCAUUCCUAAUGGUAGAGGGCCAGUUAAUCCAGAAGGGGUGCAGUAUUAUAAUAACUUGAUCAAUGAAGUCAAGAAAUAUGGAAUUGAACCUCAUGUCACUCUUCUUCACUUUGACCUCCCCCAAUCUUUGGAAGAUGA
Molecule: long non-coding RNA, 167 nt
Organism: Zingiber officinale
Lineage: Eukaryota; Viridiplantae; Streptophyta; Magnoliopsida; Zingiberales; Zingiberaceae
Exons: 3
Source: RefSeq, a predicted model, not a curated record